CCUUUAACAACUAACUCAGAGUAGUAACAGAUACAUGUACCAGUAAGAUUCAAUGUCUUAUCAAAGGAGGGUUUUUUUUUCAACAGUUUGUUAAAAUCAGAUGUUUAUAGGUUAAUGCAACCAAUUGAUUUACAAAUAUACCAAGCACUGAAGUUGUAUAAACAAUUCAUAUUCUGAACUUGAUUGGCAUGCAGAUAUAAGAAAUUGACUCCUAAAAAAAUCAAUGAAAAAAAUACAAAAUAGUCAAAAAUUAUUAUUGAAAUGGAGGAUAACUAGCUGGUGUUGCUGAAUAACUUAAAUGAAAAUGAAUCAUUAUAAAUUCAGAAACUUGAUGGUUUCAAAAGACAUGUGACAUAAAUGAGCACAUCAGAUCUCUCUUUUCUAACUAUCACAACACAACCUCACAAUAUCAACAUAAGACUGCUUUCAGUGGGUAACAGUAUUUGUACUAAAUCUGUAAAUAAAUAAUGGAAGCAUGAAUGUGAAAUCUGGUAAUGGAAAACAAUCUGAUAGAAUAUCUGGAAAGAAAAGGAUUUUUAUUUUAAGUUCAAGUAUUGUUACUGCCUGUUAAGACUGUAAAAUACAGGUAUGAUUGUUUUGAAAUAUAAUUUCAUAAACUGUAAACCAAAUGAUAUUUGCAACUUUCACAAGUAAAAAAAAAAA
Molecule: long non-coding RNA, 663 nt
Filed under: Mytilus galloprovincialis (Mediterranean mussel)
Lineage: Eukaryota; Metazoa; Mollusca; Bivalvia; Mytilida; Mytilidae
Source: RNAcentral